RNAcentral lists this long non-coding RNA (257 nucleotides) under Panax ginseng (ginseng). RNAcentral's name for it is "long non-coding RNA (PGIN_LNC000488)". Lineage: Eukaryota; Viridiplantae; Streptophyta; Magnoliopsida; Apiales; Araliaceae. The record is from RNAcentral.
UCUUUGUUCCUUUGAAAAGGACAACUCGGAACUAAGUCUGUAAGUCUGAUAUUUCUUACGAGCACGUCUAGGUGAUCAGCCUAUAGUACUCUAUGUUAUACAACACUACUCCAUUAAACGUGGUUACGUUAAAGUUUUGGCAAACUCACGUGCCAGUCGAUUUAUGACUUAAAAUCUUUGUUUAUUCAUACUUAGGCUUACCUUUGAAUCUGUACCAAAGAAAUUGGUAUAGGAUAGCAACAUCAAUGAUACUUUGA